RNAcentral lists this ribosomal RNA (235 nucleotides) under uncultured bacterium. RNAcentral's name for it is "partial 16S ribosomal RNA". It matches the Rfam family "Bacterial small subunit ribosomal RNA", at positions 96 to 334 of the family's 1533-position model. The record is from RNAcentral.
UGGCGGACGGGGGAGUAAUGUCUGGGAAACUGCCCGAUGGAGGGGGGUAACUACUGGAAACGGUAGCUAAUACCGCAUAAUGUCUACGGACCAAAGCGGGGGACCUCCGGGCCUCGCGCCAUCAGAUGAACCCAUAUGGGAUUAGCUUGUAGGUAAGGUAACGGCUUACCUAGGCGACGAUCCCUAGCUGGUCUGAGAGGAUGAUCAGCCACACUGGGACUGAGACACGGCCCAG